This 374-nucleotide ribosomal RNA is filed under the name uncultured eukaryote. RNAcentral describes it as "partial 18S ribosomal RNA". It matches the Rfam family "Eukaryotic small subunit ribosomal RNA", at positions 592 to 976 of the family's 1831-position model. The record is from RNAcentral.
CAAGAGCGUAUGUAAAAGUUGUUGCAGUUAAAAAGCUCGUAGUUGAACCUUGGGUUUGGUUGGCCGGUCCGCUUUUUUGCGAGUACUGGAUUCAACCGAGCCUUUCCUUCUGGCUAACCAGUCGUUUCGGCGGCUGGCGAACCAGGAUUUUUACUUUGAGAAAAUUAGAGUGUUCAAAGCAGGCAUUAGCUUGAAUAUAUUAGCAUGGAAUAAUAGAAUAGGACGUUAUGGUUCUAUUUUGUUGGUUUCUAGGACCAUCGUAAUGAUUAAUAGGGACGGUCGGGGGCAUCAGUAUUCAGUUGUCAGAGGUGAAAUUCUUGGAUUUACUGAAGACUAACUACUGCGAAAGCAUUUGCCAAGGAUGUUUUCAUUAA